GUGCUAUCUUCAGGAGUUCAUGCAGUAAAAUUGGAAAGAUAGAAUACUAACAGGCCACUAUGCAAGGAUGACACACAUCAGCCAUGAAACAGUUCAUAUUUUA
This 103-nucleotide small nuclear RNA is filed under the name Mesocricetus auratus (golden hamster). The record is from RNAcentral. Lineage: Eukaryota; Metazoa; Chordata; Mammalia; Rodentia; Cricetidae.